Molecule: ribosomal RNA, 484 nt
Filed under: uncultured bacterium
Lineage: Bacteria
Description: partial 16S ribosomal RNA
Rfam family: Bacterial small subunit ribosomal RNA
Source: RNAcentral
AUUGAACGCUGGCGGCAGGCCUAACACAUGCAAGUCGAGCGGAUGAAGGGAGCUUGCUCCUGGAUUCAGCGGCGGACGGGUGAGUAAUGCCUAGGAAUCUGCCUGGUAGUGGGGGAUAACGUCCGGAAACGGGCGCUAAUACCGCAUACGUCCAGAGGGAGAAAGUUGGGGAUCUUCGGACCUCUCGCUCUCAGAUGAGCCUAGGUCGGAUUAGCUAGUUGGUGGGGUAAAGGCCUACCAAGGCGACGAUCCGUAACUGGUCUGAGAGGAUGAUCAGUCACACUGGAACUGAGACACGGUCCAGACUCCUACGGGAGGCAGCAGUGGGGAAUAUUGGACAAAGGGCGAAAGCCUGAUCCAGCCAUGCCGCGUGUGUGAAGAAGGUCUUCGGAUUGUAAAGCACUUUAAGUUGGGAGGAAGGGCAGUAAGUUAAUACCUUGCUGUUUUGACGUUACCAACAGAAUAAGCACCGGCUAACUUCGUG